Molecule: transfer-messenger RNA, 403 nt
Filed under: bacterium
Lineage: Bacteria
Also listed under: 1 other name
Rfam family: transfer-messenger RNA
About the family: Bacterial tmRNA, also known as 10Sa RNA or SsrA, is named for its dual tRNA and mRNA-like properties. Its role is to liberate the mRNA from a stalled ribosome.
Source: RNAcentral
GGGGCUGACUAUAGCUUUCGACGAGAGGAAUUUAACAGAUCAUUUUGCAAGUCGAUCGUACUCGUUACGUACACUUUUUAAUUGCAACUACAACUUCACAGAAGCUUGCUAACGCAAAAGCUCGUGCACUUGAAGCAUUCGCUCCUCGUUCACUAGCACUAGCAGCCUAGGCUGCGCUCAUUCACUGUCGACAGGCGACAUAUCGAUAGUGAGUGUUAUAUUUAUGUCGCUUACUCUUCCUUCGCGCAGUGGCGAUAGUAGAGGAAAUUUUACCACGUGACCUGUAUAUCAUUUCUGCUUAUCUUAAAGAUAUAUGCGUCGUAAAGAAUAAAGAUAAAAUAAACUUGUAGAUAAAUGAUCAGUUACCUUUCGGACCGGGGUGCGAUUCCCCGCAGCUCCACCA